Molecule: non-coding RNA, 602 nt
Organism: Parasteatoda tepidariorum (common house spider)
Lineage: Eukaryota; Metazoa; Arthropoda; Arachnida; Araneae; Theridiidae
Source: RefSeq, a predicted model, not a curated record
AUCUUCCACAUCGGCUUCAUCACCAGCUCCAGCUGAGUCACCGCUUUCACUUCUGACAAGGUGACGAGGUGUAUUUUUCAAGAAUUGAUCUUUACGCCCGCCAUCGUCUUCUCAGACAUAAGGCGUCUUGCCGUUCAAUACAACAGUGAAGUAGCUCCAGAAGGUGAGAGGGCGUGUAAGUCGUCACAGGAACGAAUGUCAAGAAGAGAGGGACAAUCAAAUAGAUGCUCCCCAGUCAUAGACGAAAUGUUACAGAGCACACAAAGAGGAGUGGCAACAAAUUUUCUGGGAUUACUGACUGAGAACAAUGGAAGUUUUAGAAAAGUACAGAGAAGUAUAAAUUUGCGAUAUUGCACAAUUGUUUGCACAAUUUUUUCAUAUUGUAAACAACCUCUUAUUAACAGGAUUUUUUGAAAUUCGGUGACAAUGUCUUAUUUUUGUGUAAAGGCAAACUUAUUUCUUUGUCUGUAAUAAAAGUAAGAAUUUUUUUAAAAAAAAUGACAUUCCAAUACCUUUAUAAAGUCUGAUUGUUAAUCUUUAUAUAAUUAUUGUAGCUGAUAAAUAUAGUUUGGAAAAUAAAAUAAAUUGCAGAUUUUGCUUCA